CCUACGGGAGGCAGCAGUGGGGAAUUUUGGACAAUGGGCGAAAGCCUGAUCCAGCAAUGCCGCGUGCAGGAUGAAGGCCUUCGGGUUGUAAACUGCUUUUGUACGGAACGAAAAAGCUUCUCCUAAUACGAGAGGCCCAUGACGGUACCGUAAGAAUAAGCACCGGCUAACUACGUGCCAGCAGCCGCGGUAAUACGUAGGGUGCGAGCGUUAAUCGGAAUUACUGGGCGUAAAGAGCUCGUAGGCGGUUUGUCGCGUCUGCCGUGAAAGUCCGGGGCUUAACUCCGGAUCUGCGGUGGGUACGGGCAGACUUGAGUGAUGUAGGGGAGACUGGAAUUCCUGGUGUAGCGGUGAAAUGCGCAGAUAUCAGGAGGAACACCGAUGGCGAAGGCAGGUCUCUGGGCAUUAACUGACGCUGAGGAGCGAAAGCAUGGGGAGCGAACAGGAUUAGAUACCCUGGUAGUCCAUGCCGUAAACGUUGGGCACUAGGUGUGGGGGACAUUCCACGUUUUCCGCGCCGUAGCUAACGCAUUAAGUGCCCCGCCUGGGGAGUACGGCCGCAAGGCUAAAACUCAAAUGAAUUGACGGGG
RNAcentral lists this ribosomal RNA (590 nucleotides) under uncultured Arthrobacter sp. Its description in RNAcentral is "bacterial SSU rRNA". It matches the Rfam family "Bacterial small subunit ribosomal RNA", at positions 338 to 918 of the family's 1533-position model. Lineage: Bacteria; Bacillati; Actinomycetota; Actinomycetes; Micrococcales; Micrococcaceae. The record is from RNAcentral.